UAAUAAUUGAAAGCAAUAUCCAGCAACAAUUUGUAUGAGAUCAUAAAUAUUUAAUUCAUCUCCCUCGUACAUUUCCAGAAACAAAUUCAGAUUUCCAGAGUUGAAUUGUUGGUGGAUCGCUACAAGCAGGCAUAGUAGCUGGGGGUUCGCGGAGAGAAGUCUCAGGAGUUCCACCAUUCUUCACUAUAAUAACUGUGUCCAUUCCCCAACUUAAAUGGCGAUCUAAGUGACAAUGCCACAGCCAUACUCCAGGAUUGAGUGCUUUGAAUCUAACAGCAAGCCAUCCAUUCUUGGGAAGAGUAGCAGUGUUCACAUACGGUGGAUCAACCAAAUUGUAUGUUUUUGGGUCUUCUUCGAAAUCAAAAUUGCCUCCUCCAGCUCCAACAGCAUAGAAGCUAUGACCAUGGAGAUGCAUUGGGUGAUCCUCUGAUGCGUUCAAUACAUUAGAUGAUUGGAACACCAUCUCCACUUCUUCUCCAUAUUCCAGCACCUUCACCUUCGUCCCUAUCGAGGAUUGCGUGGUAUUAACAGGCAAUCCUUCUGCAACGAAGUCAUAGAAAUUUGGUGGCAUGUCUGGGAAAUCUUCAGUGUAAAAACCACUCAUGUUGCUGUAGUAGGCAUGAAGAACAUCCAUUUUUGGAUUUACCCAAGUCGCAUUGUUCAAGCUUGCAGCAAGAGAGAUAGUCACAUUGCCUGAAUUGUUAAACAAGAAUUGGUUCUGAGAAGCAACAAUGUACAUUUGGGUAGUAAUGUUUUUGGGGACGUCCUGCUUAUCAAGGCUCCUCAAUUGAUUUCUGAAAGUUAUUCCAGCAGGAUAAUCUGCGUAAGAAGGAAGGGUGUCGGAUGGGAAAGAAGGAG
RNAcentral lists this unclassified non-coding RNA (858 nucleotides) under Hevea brasiliensis (rubber tree). The record is from RNAcentral. Lineage: Eukaryota; Viridiplantae; Streptophyta; Magnoliopsida; Malpighiales; Euphorbiaceae.